This 600-nucleotide ribosomal RNA is filed under the name uncultured archaeon. RNAcentral's name for it is "bacterial SSU rRNA". It matches the Rfam family "Archaeal small subunit ribosomal RNA", at positions 80 to 679 of the family's 1478-position model. The record is from RNAcentral.
AGCGCACUGCUCAGUAACACGUGGACAACCUGCCCUGAGGACUGGAAUAAUCCCGGGGAACUGGGGGUAAUUCCAGAUAUGUCAGAACUCCUGGAAUGGGUUCUGGCAGAAAGGCUCCGGUGCCUCAGGAUGGGUCUGCGGCCUAUCAGGGUAGUAGUGGGUGUAACGUACCUACUAGCCUACGACGGGUACGGGUUGUGAGAGCAAGAGCCCGGAGAUGGAUUCUGAGACAUGAAUCCAGGCCCUACGGGGUGCAGCAGGCGCGAAAACUUUACAAUGCGGGCAACCACGAUAAGGGGACCUCGAGUGCUGGGUUACAAACCUGGCUGUUGGGCUGCCUAAAAAGCAGUCUGUAGCAAGGGCCGGGCAAGACCGGUGCCAGCCGCCGCGGUAACACCGGCGGCUCGAGUGGUAACCGCUAUUAUUGGGUCUAAAGGGUCUGUAGCCGGCCGACUAAGUCUCUUGGGAAAUCUGGCAUCUCAAGUGUCAGGCUGCCAGGGGAUACUGGUCGGCUUGGGACCGGGAGAGGUGAGAGGUACCUCGGGGGUAGGGGUGAAAUCUUGUAAUCCUCGAGGGACCACCAGUGGCGAAGGCGUCUCA